UACGAAGGGUGCAAGCGUUACUCGGAAUUACUGGGCGUAAAGCGUGCGUAGGUGGUUCGUUAAGUCUGUCGUGAAAGCCCCGGGCUCAACCUGGGAAUGGCGAUGGAUACUGGCGGGCUAGAGUGCGGUAGAGGGUGGUGGAAUUCCCGGUGUAGCAGUGAAAUGCGUAGAGAUCGGGAGGAACAUCUGUGGCGAAGGCGGCCACCUGGACCAACACUGACACUGAGGCACGAAAGCUAGGGGAGCAAACAGG
RNAcentral lists this ribosomal RNA (253 nucleotides) under uncultured bacterium. RNAcentral's name for it is "partial 16S ribosomal RNA". It matches the Rfam family "Bacterial small subunit ribosomal RNA", at positions 524 to 776 of the family's 1533-position model. The record is from RNAcentral.